This 381-nucleotide ribosomal RNA is filed under the name uncultured Mycobacterium sp. Its description in RNAcentral is "bacterial SSU rRNA". It matches the Rfam family "Bacterial small subunit ribosomal RNA", at positions 524 to 902 of the family's 1533-position model. Lineage: Bacteria; Bacillati; Actinomycetota; Actinomycetes; Mycobacteriales; Mycobacteriaceae. The record is from RNAcentral.
UACGUAGGGUGCGAGCGUUGUCCGGAAUUACUGGGCGUAAAGAGCUCGUAGGUGGUUUGUCGCGUUGUUCGUGAAAUCUCACGGCUUAACUGUGAGCGUGCGGGCGAUACGGGCAGACUUGAGUACUGCAGGGGAGACUGGAAUUCCUGGUGUAGCGGUGGAAUGCGCAGAUAUCAGGAGGAACACCGGUGGCGAAGGCGGGUCUCUGGGCAGUAACUGACGCUGAGGAGCGAAAGCGUGGGGAGCGAACAGGAUUAGAUACCCUGGUAGUCCACGCCGUAAACGGUGGGUACUAGGUGUGGGUUUCCUUCCUUGGGAUCCGUGCCGUAGCUAACGCAUUAAGUACCCCGCCUGGGGAGUACGGCCGCAAGGCUAAAACUC